UUGACCUCUGACCUCAAAUCAGGUAGGACUACCCGCUGAACUUAAGCAUAUCA
Molecule: ribosomal RNA, 53 nt
Filed under: Sanguinoderma rugosum
Lineage: Eukaryota; Fungi; Basidiomycota; Agaricomycetes; Polyporales; Polyporaceae
Description: partial 28S ribosomal RNA
Source: RNAcentral